UACUUUCUGGAAUAUUCGUUAAGCUCUUAUUUUGAACCUACAUAUUAAUUACGGGAGUUCAAUAUUUAGAUGAAGAAAUGUACUUUCAUGUGAGUCCUUUAACGGCUUUGAAGGCGAUUGAAACCUCUGUGAGGACACCCACCUAUCGGGAGAUAGGUGUCAAAAUUGGAGUACCGGUAUUUUGGAUAUAAU
RNAcentral lists this non-coding RNA (192 nucleotides) under Clostridium sp. RNAcentral describes it as "6S RNA". It matches the Rfam family "6S / SsrS RNA". From Rfam's summary of the family: E. coli 6S RNA was the first non coding RNA to be sequenced, but its function was unknown until recently. It consists of 184 nucleotides that fold into an extended hairpin structure with a large single-stranded internal bulge. The 6S RNA specifically associates with RNA polymerase holoenzyme containing the sigma70 specificity factor. Lineage: Bacteria; Bacillati; Bacillota; Clostridia; Eubacteriales; Clostridiaceae. The record is from RNAcentral.